GGAAGUGUGGCUGAGUCCGGUUUAAGGCGCAUCACUGCUAAUGAUGUGGUUUCGUAAAGAGGCCCGCAGGUUCGAAUCCUGUCACUUCCGC
RNAcentral lists this transfer RNA (91 nucleotides) under Streptomyces phage Bordeaux. RNAcentral's name for it is "tRNA-Ser". It matches the Rfam family "tRNA". Rfam says of the family: Transfer RNA (tRNA) molecules are approximately 80 nucleotides in length. The record is from RNAcentral. Lineage: Duplodnaviria; Heunggongvirae; Uroviricota; Caudoviricetes; Stanwilliamsviridae. RNAcentral also lists the same sequence under 1 other name.